AGUCAUUUGUCAAAUUAAUCUAUUUUUUUCUUUUGAUAGGCAAACAUGUAUCCUUGAAGGGAGAUAAUCAAUGACAUAUUUAAUUCAAAUUUUGUCUUUUUGUUCAAGUCAAAAUCCAUCAAUGGAAAAAUCAAACAACUACACAAUCUAUGUUUGUAUAUUUUUUUAUAUAAACCUUAUCAAGCUUACCCCUUACAUGGACAAUACAAUGAAUAACACAGAC
RNAcentral lists this long non-coding RNA (223 nucleotides) under Mytilus galloprovincialis (Mediterranean mussel). Lineage: Eukaryota; Metazoa; Mollusca; Bivalvia; Mytilida; Mytilidae. The record is from RNAcentral.